Long non-coding RNA from Mirounga angustirostris (Northern elephant seal), 906 nucleotides. RefSeq lists it as uncharacterized. The record is from RefSeq and is a predicted model, not a curated record. The transcript has 4 exons. Lineage: Eukaryota; Metazoa; Chordata; Mammalia; Carnivora; Phocidae.
CGGCAAGGCUGGGACAGAAGGUAAAGGGAAGAGAGAAGGGUGAAGGAUAGGAAGAAGCCAGAUUAUAAGAAGCCAUGAAGGCAAGGCUGAGAAGUUUGAAUUUUAUCCUGCGAGCAAUGGGAAGCUUCUGAAGGGUUUGAAAGGCAGGAGUACCCAGCGCCCCCAGUGCCUAGCAAAGUGCCUGGCACAGAGCAGUACUCAAAAGAUAUUUGUUGAAUGAAUGAAUGAAUGAAUGAGUGAAAAUUGUGGUAAAUGGAUCUGGAGGUAGAAAGGAGAGAACCUGGGAGCGGACACCAGCCUGGUUGUUGCAAUUUUCCAGGCUAGAAGUCAUGAGCAAGAGCAGCGGCUGGAGCCUGUCGGCAGGCAUCACUGUGCUUCCUGAGCGCCCGUCCCUGUUCUUCGGAGUGAUGCCGCAUGAUCUCAUUCCCUCUUUAUAACAACAAGCAGGUUUCUACUGGUGUCCUUAUCAACUCAUACUAGACUUAUUUGCUUCUGUCCGUCAUCCAUGAGACUGUGCGUUCCCUGCGGGUUGGGUCCGUGUUUCAUUUACCCUCGGUGCCUGCCCCUAGCCCAGGGCAGGAUGUCUUGCUUGAAUGGGAUUGAAGGGCAAUGUGUAAGACUGAGGUAUUGGGGGGCGCCUGGGUGGCUCAGUCGUUGAGCGUCUGCCUCCGGCUCAGGUCAUGAUCCCAGGGUCCUGGGAUCGAGCCCCGCAUCGGGCUCCCUGCUCCGCGGGAAGUCUGCUUCUCCCUCUCCCACUCCCCCUGCUUGUGUUCCUUCUCUCGCUGUGUCUCUCUGUCAAAUAAAUAAAUAAAAUCUUUAAAAAAAAAAAAAAAAGACUGAGGUAUUGGAACGAUGGUCCAGGCCAGCCUGAGACCUUGUAGGAAGCAUCUGAGACACAAUGUGGGC